AUUGAACGCUGGCGGCAUGCCUUACACAUGCAAGUCGAACGGCAGCACGGGUGCUUGCACCUGGUGGCGAGUGGCGAACGGGUGAGUAAUACAUCGGAACGUACCUUAUCGUGGGGAUAACGCAGCGAAAGUUGCGCUAAUACCGCAUACGCCCUGAGGGGGAAAGCGGGGGGACCGUAAGGCCUCGCGCGAUUAGAGCGGCCGAUGUCUGAUUAGCUUGUUGGUGAGGUAAAAGCUCACCAAGGCGAUGAUCAGUAGCUGGUCUGAGAGGACGACCAGCCACACUGGGGACUGAGACACGGCCCAGAUCCUACGGGAGGCAGCAGUGGGGAAUUUUGGAC
This 341-nucleotide ribosomal RNA is filed under the name uncultured bacterium. RNAcentral's name for it is "bacterial SSU rRNA". It matches the Rfam family "Bacterial small subunit ribosomal RNA", at positions 30 to 369 of the family's 1533-position model. The record is from RNAcentral.